GACGAACGCUGGCGGCGUGCUUAACACAUGCAAGUCGAGCGGUAAGGCCCUUUCGGGGGUACGACGAGCGGCGAACGGGUGAGUAACACGUGGGUGACCUGCCCUCAGCUCUGGGAUAAGCCUGGGAAACCGGGUCUAAUACUGGACAUGACUCCAUGACGCAUGUUGUGGGGUGGAAAGCCUUGUGCGGCUGAGGAUGGGCCCGCGGCCUAUCAGCUUGUUGGUGGGGUGAGGCCUACCAAGGCGACGACGGGUAGCCGGCCUGAGAGGGCGACCGGCCACACUGGGACUGAGACACGGCCCAGACUCCUACGGGAGGCAGCAGUGGGGAAGUCUUGCGCAAUGGGCGAAAGCCUGACGCAGCGACGCCNCGUGA
This 376-nucleotide ribosomal RNA is filed under the name uncultured bacterium. Its description in RNAcentral is "bacterial SSU rRNA". It matches the Rfam family "Bacterial small subunit ribosomal RNA", at positions 28 to 404 of the family's 1533-position model. The record is from RNAcentral.